CCCAACUCAGGAUCUCACCUGGAGAGUUUCCAGUACUCUACCAGUCUGGGCUAUGGGAGGGAGAGUCAGCAGAGGCCUACCCAUUCCAUUCCUAGCCUGAACAGUGGCUAGCGAGUGGAAGGCAAUCUGCUACAAAU
RNAcentral lists this small nucleolar RNA (137 nucleotides) under Ornithorhynchus anatinus (platypus). Lineage: Eukaryota; Metazoa; Chordata; Mammalia; Monotremata; Ornithorhynchidae. The record is from RNAcentral.